GACGAACGCUGGCGGCGUGCUUAACACAUGCAAGUCGAACGGAAAGGCCCUGCUUUUGUGGGGUGCUCGAGUGGCGAACGGGUGAGUAACACGUGAGUAACCUGCCCUUGACUUUGGGAUAACUUCAGGAAACUGGGGCUAAUACCGGAUAGGAGCUCCUGCUGCAUGGUGGGGGUUGGAAAGUUUCGGCGGUUGGGGAUGGACUCGCGGCUUAUCAGCUUGUUGGUGGGGUAGUGGCUUACCAAGGCUUUGACGGGUAGCCGGCCUGAGAGGGUGACCGGCCACAUUGGGACUGAGAUACGGCCCAGACUCCUACGGGAGGCAGCAAUGGGGAAUAUUGCACAAUGGGCGGAAGCCUGAUGCAGCAACGCCGCGUGCGGGAUGACGGCCUUCGGGUUGUAAACCGCUUUCGCCUGUGACGAAGCGUGAGUGACGGUAAUGGGUAAAGAAGCACCGGCCAACUACGUG
This 468-nucleotide ribosomal RNA is filed under the name uncultured bacterium. RNAcentral describes it as "partial 16S ribosomal RNA". It matches the Rfam family "Bacterial small subunit ribosomal RNA", at positions 28 to 507 of the family's 1533-position model. The record is from RNAcentral.